GUUAACUAACCCUAACCCUUCGUUUCUUCAUCAAGGACCAAGGUUGUUGCUUUCUUCAUCAAGGAUUCAAGGUUGUAGAACAGUAGAAGACCUUCAAGUGGAUUUAUCUUCAGGGAUUUCAACCCUAGUCAAUUUCAUCUCUAAUCACCACCACCAGGUCUACCACGAAGAAUUAUCGAUCUUGAUAGAAAACGACCAGUUAGUGUGUGAUUUUGGAAGCAGAAGCUCAUCUGACUAUCUAAUUAGUACUAGAGUACUCGAUUGAGGAAAUCCAAUUUCCACUGCGAGGAUACCAGUGCACACAUCGAUUUAUGCCACCAAGUUGUGAUUCAUAAGUGCUUCCCUUAGGUAUGCUAUCCACUACCACUAACCAGUUCAUAUCUUAUACUCCAUUGACAACAAUAUCCUGAUAUUUCCAGUAGACUGAAGUUUUUGAAAGAAUCCAAGAUUAAGAAAGAAUAAGGGAGUUUGGAGGGUUCUACAGUUCUACUUAUCUUAUGUUUUGGUUUCUAUUUUCUUUCAGUCACA
Long non-coding RNA from Papaver somniferum (opium poppy), 528 nucleotides. RefSeq lists it as uncharacterized. NCBI's taxonomy places the organism in Eukaryota, Viridiplantae, Streptophyta, Magnoliopsida, Ranunculales, Papaveraceae. The transcript has 5 exons. The record is from RefSeq and is a predicted model, not a curated record.